This 324-nucleotide ribosomal RNA is filed under the name uncultured bacterium. RNAcentral describes it as "bacterial SSU rRNA". It matches the Rfam family "Bacterial small subunit ribosomal RNA", at positions 28 to 334 of the family's 1533-position model. The record is from RNAcentral.
GAUGAACGCUGGCGGCGUGCUUAACACAUGCAAGUCGAACGAAGCACUUUUGAUUGAUUCUUCGGAUGAAAGAGAUUGUGACUGAGUGGCGGACGGGUGAGUAACGCGUGGGUAACCUGCCUCAUACAGGGGGAUAACAGUUAGAAAUGACUGCUAAUACCGCAUAAGCGCACGGUAUCGCAUGAUACAGUGUGAAAAGCCGAGACGGUAUGAGAUGGACCCGCGUCUGAUUAGGUAGUUGGUGAGGUAACGGCCCACCAAGGCGACGAUCGGUAGCCGGACUGAGAGGUUGAACGGCCACAUUGGGACUGAGACACGGCCCAG